Triticum aestivum (bread wheat) is the source of this 1319-nucleotide long non-coding RNA. RefSeq lists it as uncharacterized. Lineage: Eukaryota; Viridiplantae; Streptophyta; Magnoliopsida; Poales; Poaceae. The transcript has 2 exons. The record is from RefSeq and is a predicted model, not a curated record.
CCCCCCCCAACCUCCUCCACCGCCUCCUCCCACCUCCCAUCCACCAUCCACUGCUGGUGCCGCCCCAGCGCCCAGCCAACUCCCUCCCCGGGGCUUGCGGCGAGCCGCCCAUCUCCCCGGUCUUCCUCCCCCGCAAUCCAUUCCCACCCGUUCUCCCACCAGCUUCACCCCCACCGCGCCACUUCUCCACCAUGGCCCCGCCACCUCCCGGCGACCUAUGAGAUCCCAACAACCACCAGAUCGGGCGGGAUCCUCCUCCACCUCUCUCCUCCCGCGCCUACUCCGCCCUUCCUGCCGCCCCACCUUCCCCUCACCCUCACCUCCCCAUCCCAAUCUCUCACGCCGCUGGAUCGACGUCGGAAUGCUUCCACACAACCUCCAUCCACUUGGAACCCCCCCCCCCCCCCCCCCCCCCGGGCCAUGGCGCCCAUCGGCCCCCUGCUGGUCGCCAGAAUCUUCAGUUGCCGUCGAGGCCGGUGACCGUCGGAUCUGACCUCCACGGCGCCAGUAGCCACGGGAUCCGUGGACCAGCCGCGUGUGUGUUCCCCCACCGUCAGGCUCCUGGUGGCUCAACGACGAGCACCAUCUUCACUUGGGUGGGCAGCCCCGACAGCUGUGACGAGCACCUUCCCACAGGGAUCAACAACUUCACCCGCGGCUCCCCGAUUUCAUUGUUUUUGUGCGUGCGUUUUCACUGUUUUUUGCUGCAGGCAUCCCACCGGUGGCGCUGCCAUGCAAUUUAGGUAGUGCUCUUGCACAGCUCCUAGUCCACCUCGAUGCCGUCCAGACUGCAGGGCAGAUCAGGCAAGAACAGGGGCAUCACCGGCUAGUAGCUCCACCUCUCUCGAGUGGCCAUCGUCGUGCAGUUCUGCUGCCCGACACAUGCAGUCAACAGCGGGAGUGAUAGCUGUAGACCGUCAUAUGCUAGCUGUGCAGUGCGCCUCCAGAUGCAGUGCUGUCGGGAUCUGGAGCUUCACGCCCUUCAGCAGGGAGGUCCCGGUGAAGUUCAGAGACUCACUCUGUCAGUGCAGAAUUCAGACAUAUAGCAUUGCGUGUGGUUGUUUUGUAGUUUAGUGCACAAGUACAUGCACUUUUAGUGCGGUCCAGUGCGUGGAGUUUGCAGUUUGCCGCCUCCUAUUUGGGUAGCUGGUGACGAGGAGCUACAGUUUUCUACGAUGAUUAGGGGACACGGGCGAUUACUUGCAUGAUUGUUUGAAUUUUUUGUUGCUGAUUUAGAGCAGUUUUCAUAUUACCACUGAUCUGUUGGGUUUGUUCUUCAAGACGGUUCUAUAGUGCAGAUUCUUCUCUUGCAGUUAGUA